UACGUAGGGUGCGAGCGUUAAUCGGAAUUACUGGGCGUAAAGCGUGCGCAGGCGGUGAUGUAAGACAGGUGUGAAAUCCCCGGGCUUAACCUGGGAACUGCACUUGUGACUGCAAGGCUGGAGUGCGGCAGAGGGGGAUGGAAUUCCGCGUGUAGCAGUGAAAUGCGUAGAUAUGCGGAGGAACACCGAUGGCGAAGGCAAUCCCCUGGGCCUGCACUGACGCUCAUGCACGAAAGCGUGGGGAGCAAACAGG
This 253-nucleotide ribosomal RNA is filed under the name uncultured bacterium. Its description in RNAcentral is "partial 16S ribosomal RNA". It matches the Rfam family "Bacterial small subunit ribosomal RNA", at positions 524 to 776 of the family's 1533-position model. The record is from RNAcentral.